RNAcentral lists this long non-coding RNA (1178 nucleotides) under Capra hircus (goat). RNAcentral describes it as "lncRNA (ENSCHIG00010003818.1)". The record is from RNAcentral. Lineage: Eukaryota; Metazoa; Chordata; Mammalia; Artiodactyla; Bovidae.
UGGUGUGCUGCAAUUCAUGGGGUCGCAAAGAGUCGGACACAACUGAGUGAUGAACUGAACUGAAACCCUCCUUAGGCUCAUAAUCAGAUUUGAUCCUAAGCAAAAUGUGAAAGACAUUUAGUUUAAACAUAGGAUAGUUUUAGUCCUUUCUAGGAUCUCAAGGGGUUUACUGGAUAACCCAAUUACGUUUUGGGCUUGCCUGGUGGCUCAGUGGUAAGAAUGCACUUAACAGUGCAAGAGAAGCAGUUUCAUCCCUGGGUUGGGAAGAUCCCCUGGAGAAGGAAGACAACCGACUCUAGUGUUCUUGCCUGGAGAAUCCCAGAGAUAGAGGAGCCUGGCAGGCUGCAGUCUGUGGAGUGUCAAAAGAGUUGGGCACCGCUGAGCACACGGGCACAUGCACUUCCAUAGUAGGACAGGGGUCAUCCUUGAGGGAAGAAAGAAAGCAUCUGAAUCACAACUUUAUCAGGAAAUGAGUUCCUUCUGCAGUCCGAUAUUGACUUCAUCAUAUUGGAUUGGUUCCAUGCUAUCAAAAAUGCAAUUGACAGAUUGCCAAAGGAUCCAAGUAGUCAUUCAAGAAACCUGGAAUUAUUUAAAAUCCAGAGAUCUUCCAGUACUGAACUACUAAGUCACUAUGAUAGUGAUAUAAAAGAACAGAAACCAGAGCACAGAAAAUCUUUAAGUAAGUAUUUUUUUUUUGACUAGCUCAUUUUAACUUUGUUUAAACUUAGUGCUUAUGAAAUGUAGAUAUAGUGAAAUGAGAUUUGAACCAAACUGAUGCUACUCAUGGAUGAUUCAUAGCCAUUUCUUUAGCCAGGAAUUCACGCACUCGAGGACAGUCUGAGUGCUUUGCUCACAUCAUUGUUGGUAAUACCUUUUGAGAAAAUAAUUAUUUCAAGGUCAUGGUCUCUGCUUACAGCAAACUUCUGAAUCUAAGUAAUAACCAUGGCGUUCAGAUUGGUGAUUGAUUUCGAGAGUGGGAAAUGUCAAGCGUCUCCAAACCUUGGUAUGCUGACUAUUUGAUUUUCAUACAUUAAAAUAUAUAUGAGUGACCUGACGUAAACCAACAGGCUAUGCAACUUUCCAUUUGUUUCAUCCACCAGAAAGAUUUAGAAAUGUGUAACGUGGACUAGAUAUCCUCCAAGGUCACAUCUAGGUCUGAUUUUCUAAAAAAAAAAAAA